Regulatory RNA element from Prevotella dentalis DSM 3688, 74 nucleotides. It matches the Rfam family "L13-Bacteroidia ribosomal protein leader". The record is from Rfam. NCBI's taxonomy places the organism in Bacteria, Pseudomonadati, Bacteroidota, Bacteroidia, Bacteroidales, Prevotellaceae.
GGGGCACACUUAGAGCCCCAUACACGACCGUGUUAAUAGUCGCGCCUUUGGCCGGACGCGACGGUUAGUGAAUC